AGACUGGUUUUUUUCUUCAGAUAUGCAGGGGCAAAUCUAGAAAAGUUUAGAUGGGGGCCAGGCAGGAGCAAUGACAAAGAAAAGGGGGGCACA
Long non-coding RNA from Melanotaenia boesemani (Boeseman's rainbowfish), 93 nucleotides. RefSeq lists it as uncharacterized. The transcript has 3 exons. The record is from RefSeq and is a predicted model, not a curated record. Lineage: Eukaryota; Metazoa; Chordata; Actinopteri; Atheriniformes; Melanotaeniidae.